AUUUAAAUUCUAUAGGUAGUAUUAUGAUAUUAUAAAAACCUACAUAUAUUGGCGGCAUUUUUUCUUAUUAGAGGAACUUGUUUUUUAAUCGACAUCACACGAUAAUUUUAACUUAAAUUUAAAUUUUAUAUACCGCCGUCAUAAAAGUUAAUUUACAAAAUUAUUCUUCAAAUAACAUUAUAAUACUUUAGGUAAAGGUGUAGAACACAUUUAAGUUAAAAUGAGUUACAUUAAUAAAUAAUUAAGGAUAUUUUUAUAAAUAAAAAUAUAAAAUAGAAUUUAAAAGUAUUUUUUCAAUAAUAAUUAAAAUUGAAUAAGAAAAAAAAUGUGU
RNAcentral lists this ribosomal RNA (331 nucleotides) under Pararchaea alba. RNAcentral describes it as "partial 12S ribosomal RNA". Lineage: Eukaryota; Metazoa; Arthropoda; Arachnida; Araneae; Pararchaeidae. The record is from RNAcentral.